AUUGAACGCUGGCGGCAUGCCUUACACAUGCAAGUCGAACGGCAGCACGGGUGCUUGCACCUGGUGGCGAGUGGCGAACGGGUGAGUAAUACAUCGGAACGUACCUUAUCGUGGGGGAUAACGCAGCGAAAGCUGUGCUAAUACCGCAUACGCCCUGAGGGGGAAAGCGGGGGAUCGCAAGACCUCGCGCGAUUAGAGCGGCCGAUGCCUGAUUAGCUUGUUGGUGGGGUAAAAGCCCACCAAGGCGACGAUCAGUAGCUGGUCUGAGAGGACGAUCAGCCACACUGGGACUGAGACACGGCCCAGACUCCUACGGGAGGCAGCAGUGGGGAAUUUUGGACAAUGGGGGCAACCCUGAUCCAGCAAUGCCGCGUGAGUGAAGAAGGCCUUCGGGUUGUAAAGCCCUUUUGUCAGGGAAGAAACACCGGCUCUAACACAGUCCGGGAAUGACGGUACCUGAAGAAUAAGCACCGGCUAACUACGUGCCAGCAGCCGCAGUAA
Molecule: ribosomal RNA, 501 nt
Filed under: uncultured bacterium
Lineage: Bacteria
Description: partial 16S ribosomal RNA
Rfam family: Bacterial small subunit ribosomal RNA
Source: RNAcentral